AUAUAAAACUAUUCAGAACCACACAGGUAAUUUGUGUACAGCUGUUUCCAGAGAGCUCGAUCCUCGCUUUUGGGGCUCUAGGGACUCCAAGUAAGGAGAAAAGGGUAUUCGCUGUCUCGUGAAAACUCGGCUUAAGGCCACUCAUUCCAGGGGGAAGAGAAUAGAGCAGGAAAAGCAACGUUUGGCUUUUGAUACGGAAACGUAUCAGACAAUAUCUUUUUAAAACUUCACAGUUACCCUCGUUUUAUAAAUGAGGAAACUGAGGCCCAGAGAAGUUAAGUGGGCCAUCCAAAGUUGCACAACAGAUAAGUGGCACAGUCAGGAUGCAAGCCAGCUGGGUGAGACAUCCAAGGUCGCGUGAGGCCUAGGAAAGGAGGGGGGUGGCGAGAUGGCAAUGCCAGGUGAAGUGAGCUUUGGUUGAAACGGGGCUUAUGACAGAAUAGCAUCUUACCUAUGAAAACUGGGCUUGCUCGGACACGAAGCCUGAGUCUCACAUGCCACCUGGUUUCACGUUGUGUGGGUUCUGAGGAGUCCAACAAUAAAUAGGGCAGUUGGGCUCACCCCAGAACAGCUACAAGCCCUCAGAGAUGGCCCGAAAUCGGACAGGCCCUGGAGUGAGGGUCUGGGCACUGCUCCAAGCAUCUGGAGUGGUCCUUAGAAGGAGCAACAGAGCUGUGGUUUGGGAGUUUUUCCUUCCUCAACCAAGACCCACGGCGGCGUGUUUAAAGGGUACAGGUAAGGAGCAAGGUGGGGUGAGGUGCAUGGUGAGGUGGGGGCGGUCCAGGAGGGGGUCAUUCCUGCCAGGCUGACCUCAGCUGGGUAAUGUGAUCAGCCUGUCAUGGUUCUGAGCUCUGAUUUGGGAAGAACAAAGGGGCCAGGCCCCUCUGCCUCCUCUAGCCCAGGAAUGCAGCUGGGGCCAGGCCGUGACCAAUCGGGAAUGCAGGUUGGGAGCGCAGCAAAUGCAGUUUGUACAGCGAGGCUUUCAUGCAUUGAUGGAGCCCGGCUCACAAAGCCAGGCUGACAUGCCCCUGCGCUUCCAGCUUUGAUAUCCCAGCCCCGCCUUGGGGGAGCCUUGAAUCCCCCAAGCUCCCUGGCCCUGACUGCCCAGCUGUGGCCCCUGAGGUGGAGGUGGGGUGGGGAGUGGAGGGUCCAAAUCCACCCCCCACCAACCCCAGCAGUGUUCCCAGCAUCUCCUCGGGCAUCUCUGUCCAUCGCAGAAGUCUGAGAGAUAGGCAGGGGAGAGAAGGCAGCCCCCGCCGAACCUCCUGCCUGCUCCUUUGGGCCGGCAGACACGGAUGCAUAGACAGACAGAUGUCCCAUGGGAGAGAAUGCCAGGCCUCAGGCAGAUGCUGCUCGGAACAGGUCAUGGAAACCUCUUGAGGCCACCCCCUCCAGGGAGAUGAAUCAUAUUGGGCUUGGGGAGGGGGGUCUGACUCCUGGGUUGAAGGCUGGAUGCCUUCUGCAUUCCAAAGUUCUUCUCCUCCCCUCCCCAGCCCUUCAUCUAUUCCCACUGGCCAGUUCUAUCAGUGUGGGGUCCUCCGGGCCUGCCCUCCUCUGUAUCCCAAUUAUCCACAGUCCCCUCCCCUCCUGCCUCCUCUACGCUUCCUGCACUUUCUCUUGUCCUACGUGUUAAUAGGAGCGGUGCUUUGCGAUUUAGGGAGGACAUUUAUACACGCUAAAUCAUUUGAUUCUUAGAAGAGCCCUGUGAAGUAGGUACUCUUACCCUAUUUUAUGCAGAAAUGGAAGAAAGAAGGGAGGAGGGGGAGACAUUUGGAGGCAAGAAGUUUAAGGAUGUUGGAUGGAAUGCUCACGUGGAUAUGACAGUCACUGUGGACAGUGGCAGGGGUAGAGAUGGAUAGGA
RNAcentral lists this long non-coding RNA (1861 nucleotides) under Lynx pardinus (Iberian lynx). The record is from RNAcentral. Lineage: Eukaryota; Metazoa; Chordata; Mammalia; Carnivora; Felidae.